UUACGGCCAUAUCACUUUGAAACACCAGUCCUCGUCCGAUCAGCAAUGUUAAGCAACGUCGGGCUUGUUCAGUAUCUAGAUGGGUGACCGCUUUGGAAUGGCAGGUGUUGUAAG
Non-coding RNA from Acanthosepion pharaonis, 114 nucleotides. Lineage: Eukaryota; Metazoa; Mollusca; Cephalopoda; Sepiida; Sepiidae. The record is from the annotation of a GenBank genome assembly.